UGAUUAAAGAAUUUAAAACAGAUUUUCAAAUAUUUAAAGUGAAGUUAUUUCUCCUGUUAUAUACUGAAGAAGUGUUUUCAAUGUAGAACCUGUCAUCUAUGUAUCUCCUACUUUUUCAAUGGAUUUAAUUUUCUGUGAUUUUGAAGUAAAUAUUUAGACUGUCUGUACAACAAACAUGUAUGUAAGUUUUAUAUUAUUGUUAUGCGAAACCACAGAUGCAAUCAUUCAAUAAUUUUUUUUUUAAAUCAUAAACUUGUAAUGGAUAUGUACCAUUUAUUUUUUCCUUUCUAUUUUCUAUUUUAAGUAAAACUUCAAUAGCUUGAGGUUUAAAAACAUAAAAUAUUAUAUUUACAGUAGUAAUGCACACAUUGAAUUUAAAUACAAAAUACAAAACAAAAUUUUAGGUCACGAAAUAUUGUACUAUCGACCUAAGUAAUGAACUUGAAUUUUAAAAGCUUUAAAAUAUAAUUUUAAAAUGACAAAUAAGUUAUUUGCCUGAGCGUUCGUAAGUUUAAUGUGUAGUCUUCAAUCUGACCUCUCCUGUAUCCACACAUAAACUUGUUUAUAUUGAAUCUAACAACUCCCUGUUCUACUUUCAUUUUUGAUAAUUAUUUUUCUACCUAUAUAAAUUUGCCCUCAACUGGGACAGUUGUGUAUCAGAAAGCCAUUACUAUAAUUCAAAAAAUAGAAAAAAGAAGAUGUGGUAUGACUGCCAAUGAGACAAUUCUUCACAAGAAACCAAAUGACUAAGAAAUAAACAGCUUUAGAACACUGUACAGCUUCAACAAUGAGCAAAUGCCCAUAUCACAUAGUCCGCUAUAAAAGACCCUGAAAUAAAAAAGCAGUUGAAAAAUAUAAUCGACUCAUCAGAUUAAAGCUCAAAAACUAAAUAAAAUAAAAUGUUUUUGUUUUGGUAGAUUAAAUUUAUAAAGUUAUUUUCUUUAAGGCCUAAACAACAGCUAAAUAUUACUGCAGGCAGGAUACAAAGAGAUACUCUCAUGCAUAAACCUCGGUGAUAAUGAAAAAGGAACAAAAUUUAUUAGAUAUAACACAUACAUCAAAUUUGAAUUGGAUUUCAAUUAAAUGCGAAUCAUAUUCACUAAUCAAGUUCACACACUUUUCCUUUUUUUUUUAAAAAUUCAAAUCAAAUUUGAACUGGCUAAAUCGCAUUAGAAAUGAAUUUUUGUUAAUACAAAUUAGUAACUUCGCAUUAAUUCUAAUUAAACUGUGUUGUGGACCCUUUCAAUUGUAAUUCAAAUUAAAUUAUAAUUAAAUAAUUGAUAUGCGAACUGAAAGUUAGUGUUGUUCAGACAGUAAAAUCAACUUGUUGUGCAUUGCAGUUAAAAAUUAGGUUCGGACAUAUAAUAUUUCGAAUGUGAAUUAAAACUAAUUCAAAUAAGUUAACACAAAUUGAAUUAGAGUUGCGUGUGAAAAUAGCAUUAUACUGUAAGUUUUUUUUUACCAGUACCGGGUAUAUUUAUUAUAUUGACAACUGUGUUUAUUAUUUUGUAGACCAUUGGAUGUGACAAAGUGAAACAAGACAUAUAUAUAUAUAUCUGAGUCUUCUAUACUGAAGUGUUCAUCAUGAUUCCCAAAC
RNAcentral lists this long non-coding RNA (1597 nucleotides) under Mytilus galloprovincialis (Mediterranean mussel). Lineage: Eukaryota; Metazoa; Mollusca; Bivalvia; Mytilida; Mytilidae. The record is from RNAcentral.